RNAcentral lists this long non-coding RNA (213 nucleotides) under Elaeis guineensis (African oil palm). RNAcentral describes it as "long non-coding RNA (EGUI_LNC009708)". Lineage: Eukaryota; Viridiplantae; Streptophyta; Magnoliopsida; Arecales; Arecaceae. The record is from RNAcentral.
GGGCAGCGAUUUGUUGGGAUCUAUCGAGCGACCAUGGGUUGGUCCUUGGGUGGCAUCCCUGCGGAUCAGGCAGCCCUGUCAAUCCAAGGUUUCAGCCAAGCCGAGGAAGGAGGACGAGUCCAAUCCAGACCCCUCAGGUCCCAGCUUGUCCCCCUCCCAUCCGAGCUCCCCAACGAUGCAAGAUGGCUCGCGAGGAUCGCCUCCGAAUUCUGA